RNAcentral lists this unclassified non-coding RNA (376 nucleotides) under Hevea brasiliensis (rubber tree). The record is from RNAcentral. Lineage: Eukaryota; Viridiplantae; Streptophyta; Magnoliopsida; Malpighiales; Euphorbiaceae.
CCGCUUCCUCGCCUUCUCCUUCUCUGUAAGAGCCGCAUCCGCUUCAAUCUCCCUUAUAGCAGCCACCAAUUCACUUCCACUUCCGGCGACAGCCGUUGCAGAGGCAGCAGGUUCACCAGAACAGUCAGGACACUCCCACUGGAGAGUGGAUGCUAGGGUUUCCGGCGGGGAAGAAAGGCAAACUACGUGCCAAGGAGUAACGCAAGUGAUACAAGUGAGGGUUUCUUGGGUAGUCGGCACUGACUUGCAGCGCAUGCAGAUGCCGUCUCCGUCGCACGGGAGCGAGAUAUCGUGCGCCAUAGAGUGUGCACAGGAUAAGCACAACACAAGACAGAGGGAAGAAACAGAGGCACAGAGAGAUGAAUAGACAGUUUUG